UACGUAGGUGGCGAGCGUUGUCCGGAUUUACUGGGCGUAAAGAGCGCGCAGGCGGUCGUUCAAGUCGAGUGUGAAAGCCCCCGGCUCAACUGGGGAGGGUCACUCGAUACUGAUCGACUCGAAGGCAGGAGAGGGAAGUGGAAUUCCUGGUGUAGCGGUGAAAUGCGCAGAUAUCAGGAGGAACACCGGUGGCGAAGGCGGUUCUCUGGGCAUUACCUGACGCUGAGGAGCGAAAGUGUGGGGAGCGAACAGG
This 253-nucleotide ribosomal RNA is filed under the name uncultured bacterium. Its description in RNAcentral is "partial 16S ribosomal RNA". It matches the Rfam family "Bacterial small subunit ribosomal RNA", at positions 524 to 776 of the family's 1533-position model. The record is from RNAcentral.